RNAcentral lists this long non-coding RNA (360 nucleotides) under Gallus gallus (chicken). The record is from RNAcentral. Lineage: Eukaryota; Metazoa; Chordata; Aves; Galliformes; Phasianidae.
GACAGCGAGGGGUCUGGGCAGGGCACUGUCAGGAUUUGGGAGGUGCCCACAUGCAGGAUCCAGCCCCAUCUGCUUGGCUGAGAAUUUACAGCACUCAGACUGCUACAUCCCAGUGGAUCAUCGGAACUUUGGGAUCCCUGGGCUCAUCAUGGUACCCUGUGCUUACAUGAGGAGGGAAGAUGCUCAUAGGAGCCAGCACGUGAAGAUGUCUCACCUGAUUCUGGGCCACAACAGGACUGCAGCUGGGGUUUCCCUCCAGCUGUGUGGAAUUACACUUAGAGCUGGUCCACGAAGAGCCCACAAGCAGUUGUCCCUGCCUGAGCAUCGCUGGGGCAUGCAGCAUCCCUGCCUGCUGCCCUG